GGGUGGUCCUGGCAGCUCGUUUCAAUAAGCAUAAUGAGAGGGACUCCCCUAAGCGCCGCCACCACGACGGGGCAAUGCUGGAGAGGACGAGGUCAUAAAUGUGGUGUCAGCCCCGUCUGCUUCAGGGUGGACACGGCUUGGUGGUCGCUCCGUAUCCAUGGCGUCGUCAUGCCCAACAGCCUCACGUCGUGGGGGCAUCUGUUGCAGGAGCAUUUCUGGGAUGGGAAUAUGAUGUGGGAUGCAUGAAGUUUACUUAUACUACUUUGUGGAGUUCACUUCUCCUAUUCUUGAUGUUCAUGUAUCCUGAUGCUUCACUUUAGAUUUUCCCUGCUAGAUGGAUUUUCAUUUGAGUCUGCUAGAUGAAUUAUUCCUGAAGUUCAAUUCCAAUGUUUGUGCUGCGGGGUGGAUGAUUUCUA
Molecule: long non-coding RNA, 416 nt
Organism: Lolium rigidum
Lineage: Eukaryota; Viridiplantae; Streptophyta; Magnoliopsida; Poales; Poaceae
Exons: 2
Source: RefSeq, a predicted model, not a curated record